UAUGUUACUGAAGAUGAUUUAAUUUCUUAUAUUCUUGCAAGUUUAGGAACUGAAUACGACCCUGUGGUUGUAAAUAUUACAGCAAGAACAGAUGGUUUAUCUCUGCCUGAAGUAUUCUCUCUUUUGCUCAGUCAUGAAA
Non-coding RNA from Citrus sinensis (sweet orange), 139 nucleotides. The record is from Rfam. NCBI's taxonomy places the organism in Eukaryota, Viridiplantae, Streptophyta, Magnoliopsida, Sapindales, Rutaceae.